This 71-nucleotide transfer RNA is filed under the name Loxodonta africana (African savanna elephant). It matches the Rfam family "tRNA". From Rfam's summary of the family: Transfer RNA (tRNA) molecules are approximately 80 nucleotides in length. Their secondary structure includes four short double-helical elements and three loops (D, anti-codon, and T loops). The record is from Rfam by way of RNAcentral. Lineage: Eukaryota; Metazoa; Chordata; Mammalia; Proboscidea; Elephantidae.
GCAUUAGUAGUUCAGUGGUAGAAUUUUCGCCUUGCGUGCAGGAGAUCUGGGUUCAGUUCCUGGCCAAUGCA